Molecule: ribosomal RNA, 2518 nt
Filed under: Salmonella enterica
Lineage: Bacteria; Pseudomonadati; Pseudomonadota; Gammaproteobacteria; Enterobacterales; Enterobacteriaceae
Description: partial 23S ribosomal RNA
Rfam family: Bacterial large subunit ribosomal RNA
Source: RNAcentral
UAUCCUGUCUGAAUAUGGGGGGACCAUCCUCCAAGGCUAAAUACUCCUGACUGACCGAUAGUGAACCAGUACCGUGAGGGAAAGGCGAAAAGAACCCCGGCGAGGGGAGUGAAAAAGAACCUGAAACCGUGUACGUACAAGCAGUGGGAGCACCCUUUGGGGUGUGACUGCGUACCUUUUGUAUAAUGGGUCAGCGACUUAUAUUCUGUAGCAAGGUUAACCGAAUAGGGGAGCCGGAGGGAAACCGAGUCUUAAUUGGGCGUUAAGUUGCAGGGUAUAGACCCGAAACCCGGUGAUCUAGCCAUGGGCAGGUUGAAGGUUGGGUAACACUAACUGGAGGACCGAACCGACUAAUGUUGAAAAAUUAGCGGAUGACCUGUGGCUGGGGGUGAAAGGCCAAUCAAACCGGGAGAUAGCUGGUUCUCCCCGAAAGCUAUUUAGGUAGCGCCUCGUGAAUUCAUCUCCGGGGGUAGAGCACUGUUUCGGCUAGGGGGCCAUCCCGGCUUACCAACCCGAUGCAAACUGCGAAUACCGGAGAAUGUUAUCACGGGAGACACACGGCGGGUGCUAACGUCCGUCGUGAAGAGGGAAACAACCCAGACCGCCAGCUAAGGUCCCAAAGUCAUGGUUAAGUGGGAAACGAUGUGGGAAGGCCCAGACAGCCAGGAUGUUGGCUUAGAAGCAGCCAUCAUUUAAAGAAAGCGUAAUAGCUCACUGGUCGAGUCGGCCUGCGCGGAAGAUGUAACGGGGCUAAACCAUGCACCGAAGCUGCGGCAGCGACGCUGAUGCGUUGUUGGGUAGGGGAGCGUUCUGUAAGCCUGUGAAGGUGGCCUGUGAGGGUUGCUGGAGGUAUCAGAAGUGCGAAUGCUGACAUAAGUAACGAUAAAGCGGGUGAAAAGCCCGCUCGCCGGAAGACCAAGGGUUCCUGUCCAACGUUAAUCGGGGCAGGGUGAGUCGACCCCUAAGGCGAGGCCGAAAGGCGUAGUCGAUGGGAAACGGGUUAAUAUUCCCGUACUUGGUGUUACUGCGAAGGGGGGACGGAGAAGGCUAUGUUGGCCGGGCGACGGUUGUCCCGGUUUAAGCGUGUAGGCUGGUUUUCCAGGCAAAUCCGGAAAAUCAAGGCUGAGGCGUGACGACGAGGCACUACGGUGCUGAAGCAACAAAUGCCCUGCUUCCAGGAAAAGCCUCUAAGCAUCAGGUAACAUCAAAUCGUACCCCAAACCGACACAGGUGGUCAGGUAGAGAAUACCAAGGCGCUUGAGAGAACUCGGGUGAAGGAACUAGGCAAAAUGGUGCCGUAACUUCGGGAGAAGGCACGCUGACACGUAGGUGAAGUGAUUUACUCAUGGAGCUGAAGUCAGUCGAAGAUACCAGCUGGCUGCAACUGUUUAUUAAAAACACAGCACUGUGCAAACACGAAAGUGGACGUAUACGGUGUGACGCCUGCCCGGUGCCGGAAGGUUAAUUGAUGGGGUCAGCGCAAGCGAAGCUCCUGAUCGAAGCCCCGGUAAACGGCGGCCGUAACUAUAACGGUCCUAAGGUAGCGAAAUUCCUUGUCGGGUAAGUUCCGACCUGCACGAAUGGCGUAAUGAUGGCCAGGCUGUCUCCACCCGAGACUCAGUGAAAUUGAACUCGCUGUGAAGAUGCAGUGUACCCGCGGCAAGACGGAAAGACCCCGUGAACCUUUACUAUAGCUUGACACUGAACAUUGAGCCUUGAUGUGUAGGAUAGGUGGGAGGCUUUGAAGUGUGGACGCCAGUCUGCAUGGAGCCGGCCUUGAAAUACCACCCUUUAAUGUUUGAUGUUCUAACGUGGACCCGUGAUCCGGGUUGCGGACAGUGUCUGGUGGGUAGUUUGACUGGGGCGGUCUCCUCCUAAAGAGUAACGGAGGAGCACGAAGGUUGGCUAAUCCUGGUCGGACAUCAGGAGGUUAGUGCAAUGGCAUAAGCCAGCUUGACUGCGAGCGUGACGGCGCGAGCAGGUGCGAAAGCAGGUCAUAGUGAUCCGGUGGUUCUGAAUGGAAGGGCCAUCGCUCAACGGAUAAAAGGUACUCCGGGGAUAACAGGCUGAUACCGCCCAAGAGUUCAUAUCGACGGCGGUGUUUGGCACCUCGAUGUCGGCUCAUCACAUCCUGGGGCUGAAGUAGGUCCCAAGGGUAUGGCUGUUCGCCAUUUAAAGUGGUACGCGAGCUGGGUUUAGAACGUCGUGAGACAGUUCGGUCCCUAUCUGCCGUGGGCGCUGGAGAACUGAGGGGGGCUGCUCCUAGUACGAGAGGACCGGAGUGGACGCAUCACUGGUGUUCGGGUUGUCAUGCCAAUGGCACUGCCCGGUAGCUAAAUGCGGAAGAGAUAAGUGCUGAAAGCAUCUAAGCACGAAACUUGCCCCGAGAUGAGUUCUCCCUGAGACUUUAGGUCUCCUGAAGGAACGUUGAAGACGACGACGUUGAUAGGCCGGGUGUGUAAGCGCAGCGAUGCGUUGAGCUAACCGGUACUAAUGAACCGUGAGGCUUAACCUUACA